RNAcentral lists this ribosomal RNA (408 nucleotides) under uncultured Nitrosospira sp. Its description in RNAcentral is "bacterial SSU rRNA". It matches the Rfam family "Bacterial small subunit ribosomal RNA", at positions 199 to 588 of the family's 1533-position model. Lineage: Bacteria; Pseudomonadati; Pseudomonadota; Betaproteobacteria; Nitrosomonadales; Nitrosomonadaceae. The record is from RNAcentral.
GAGGAAAGCAGGGGAUCGCAAGACCUUGCGCUUUUGGAGCGGCCGAUGUCUGAUUAGCUAGUUGGUGAGGUAAAGGCUUACCAAGGCGUCGAUCAGUAGCUGGUCUGAGAGGACGACCAGCCACACUGGGACUGAGACACGGCCCAGACUCCUACGGGAGGCAGCAGUGGGGAAUUUUGGACAAUGGGGGAAACCCUGAUCCAGCCAUGCCGCGUGAGUGAAGAAGGCCUUCGGGUUGUAAAGCUCUUUCAGCCGGAACGAAACGGUCACGGCUAAUACCUGUGACCACUGACGGUACCGGAAGAAGAAGCACCGGCUAACUACGUGCCAGCAGCCGCGGUAAUACGUAGGGUGCAAGCGUUAAUCGGAAUUACUGGGCGUAAAGCGUGCGCAGGCGGUUUUGUAAGU